This is a non-coding RNA of Pantherophis guttatus, 11589 nucleotides long. The record is from RefSeq and is a predicted model, not a curated record. Lineage: Eukaryota; Metazoa; Chordata; Lepidosauria; Squamata; Colubridae.
UUGUCAUAAAUAUGGCAAUAUACCUAAGAGGCACGUUUCUGGUUUGAACUCAAUAUGUUGCUCAGUUAUCAUUUCUAGUUAUUUAUGAAUUUUCUCCCAGUAACUCCUUGCUUUCUUACAUGCCCACCACAUGUGGUACUUUGAUCCUGGAGUCUAGUUGCAUUUCCAACAAUUGGCAGAGGAGUUCUUAUACAUUUUGGCCAAUCUUUCUGGUGGCAAGUGCCACCUGUAAAACAUUUUGUAAAGGUUUUCUUUAUAUACCGCGGCCAUCAUUAGUUUGUAGUUUCUCUCCCAAAUUUUUAACCAUUUUUCUAAUUCUAUGUUGUAUCCAAAAUUCCUUGCCCAGGCAAUCAUUGUUUCUUUAACUAUCUCUUCCUCCAUUUUAUAGUUCAGUAAAUAAUUAUAUAUAUAUAUUUAAUCAAUUUUUUAUCCGUGAUAUAUUUAAUCAAUUUUCAUCCAGUGCUGUUUGCUCUUUGUUUACACCCCAUAAUUUAAGAUCUUUUUCAUGCCUUGCUUGGAACUGCAAAUAUGGCCACCAAGAUAAGUCCAACCCCUGCUUCUGCAAUUGUCUGGAUUUAAGAUCCCCCCCUUUCAUCUAAAAUGUCCUUAUAUUUUCCCCCAAUUUAUAAGAUUUGGAUAUAUUAUUGCCGCCGAUGGAGGUACUUCCUUAUAUAGUGUUGUAGUUUAAUUUUUCCCCAACACGUUCCUCACAUAAUGCCUAUGGAAAUAUUUGUGUGCCAUACCAGAGAAAGGCAUGCCAGCCUAAUUGUAAGUCGUGCCCUUCUAGUAAUAAUAGUCUUCUGUUAUUCAAGUUUACCCAAUCUUUUAGCCAGGUGAGAGCUGCAGCCUGGUAAUAUAAUUCCCAGUCUUUUAAAAUUUCAGAAAUGGUUAAGAAUAGGCUGGAGGAAAGAAUAACAAUGGCAGAGUUAAUGAACGCAAUCAAAAAACAAAAAAAAAACACAAUAAAACCCUGGGACUAGAUGGUCUAUCAGUAGAAAUAUAUAAAGAAUUAGAAGAUACCUUGAGUCUGUCAAUGCUAGAAGUAUACAAUGAAGUGUUAACGGAAGCUAAAAUUCCGAAUACAUGGAAAGAGGCUUAUAUUACCCUGAUCCCCAAAGAAGAUUCGGAUAUAACUCAAAUUGAAAACUAUAGACCGAUUUUGUUACUAAACACAGACUAUAAAAUCUUCGCAUCAAUAAUUGCAGAAAGAUUAAAAAGUUUUUUAAAUGAAUUCAUCCAUUCAGAUCAAAAUGGGUUUUAGCAAAAAGACUAAUAAAAAUAAUGUUAGAAUAAUCAUGGAUGUACUAGAAUAUUACAAAAUACAUUAUGAAAAAUAGCUAGCGUUAAUAUUCCUGGAUUCACAGAAAGCAUUAGACAAUAUAAAUUGGCAAUUUAUGUUGCAACAAUUAAAUUUUAUGGAAUUUUGUGGAAAAUUUAGGAAUACAAUUAAAGCAAUUUACAUUCAACAGAACACAAAAGUAUUGGUUAAUGGAGAUGUAACAGAAAGCUUUAGUAUACAAAAGGUUGUCCCCUCUCCCCAUUAUUAUUCAUUUUAACAUUAGAGGUAUUGACGAGGAACAGACAAGAUACAGAGAUAAAAGGAAUGGAAAUUAGAAACGAAAAGUACAAACUCCAAGCUUUUGCUGAUGACUUAGUGUUUAUAUUAGAAGAACCCUUAGAAACUGGCCUUAAAUUGGUCAAGAAAAUUGAGGAAUAUGGAAAGGUGGCAGGGAUGAAAAUAAAUAAAGAUAAAACCAAGAUAUUAGUUAAAAAUCUCACCAACAAACAGAAAAAGGAAUUGACAGAGAAAAUUGACCUACAGAUAGAAAAGAAUGUUAAAUACCUUGGUAUUUUCUUAACAGCUAGGUGUGGGACAAUCAAAGAGGACAACUAUACAAAGCUGAUACAGCAAAUUAAAAUAGAUUUGGAAAGGUGGAAGAAUGUACAGUUAUCGAUGAUAGGGAGAAUUGCAGUGGUGAAAAUGAACGUACUACCAAAAUUACUCUUUCUAUUUCAAACCAUACCAGUAAAAUUAGAAAAUAAUUUUUUUGAUGAACGAAAUAAAUUGACUCUGCAAUAUAUUUGGCAAGGGAAAAAAAUCGAGAAUAAAAUUGAAAAUAUUACAGGAUUCUAGGAAUAAUGGUGCGAUUUGUUAUUUAUGAACUGAUUGGGAAACCUGAAUAGAGAGGAAGUUUAUGGAUAAAGACUAACAGAGGCAUUGAGCCCUUUCCUCAUGCAUCUCAGUGUGGGUAUGAUCCCUGAAAGAACCUGAAUUGCCACCACCUCCUCUUCUUCCUCCUCCCUAUAUGGGACUGCUGUAAUAGGGCAGGAUUCAGACAUUGCAUCAAGUAAUGAUUUGCUUUAAGCAUGGUCUGUUUAAUAAGACACAGUAGUUAGACUCACACUGAGCCUAAAUCAAAGUGCCACCAUGGGGUAUACAGAUAAGUGAAGAGCCUGAUAGAAAUGUAGUGCUUGGGUGUUCUUCCACAAUUAUUCAGUUAUAUCAUCAUCAUCAUCAUCAUCAUGACCACCAACAUCACCAUCUAUUAUAGUUAUUUUUGUAUUGAUUUUAUUUUAUUUACAAUAUCAUUUGUGAGACAGUUCUCUGGAUGUAGGAGAACAAGGUCUGUGGAGUCUAUCUUAUUGCUUCCAAAAUCAUCAUCAUAAAUAAUAAUCUCCAAAUAUGAUAUUCUGAAUUUUGCCUCAACGUUGAUUGUUUUGAGGCUGAUCCUUUGUUCAGGAUCCCUUUUUCAACAUUUUUUCCCCCAGGAAGGGAUAGAAGGCUUAAGGAGAUAGGGAAAAGAGUGUUUGGUCUUGAAGAAAUGGAAGUUCAUCCAGCUAAAUAGGCAAUAAAACUACUCAGUGUUUCCAUAAUCCUAUCAAUCAAGUACAUUGCUCUGACAGCACAGAAUCCAGAAUAAUGUUCCUUUUAUCUCUUCGUUGUUUCUACCCAGUGGUGAUAACAAAUCAGUUUGUUGGGACCUCAAAAUAUAGUAUAUGUUCUCCUGGUCACAAGGGAAAUAUGUACCUUUCUGGAUGCUCUGUUUCUGAACCCAUCAGUUAAUUGGAUUUUAUUACUCCUGUACUUGAGUCUCCUGAAACAGUGUGAGAAAAUUUAGAAGCAUCCAUAACUUUCUAUGCUAAAAAAGAUCUUUAAAGUAAAGGAGAUGCUCUGAGAAGAUGCAGGACAAGGUUAAAGGUGGCCAAUGAUCAAAGCACCUUUAUUCAGACUCUUUUCAUUUUAUCAAACUGAUUGUAUGGUUGGACUUGUAUGGUUUUUAUUGAUACAUCUCCAACCCCCUGGACAUCUUAGCAUUAUUCCAGAAGGAGAAGAAAACGGCUGUCAAAAUUGCCUUGACUUCAUUCUCACAAAUCACUUGUCAAAAGAUGACUUCCUCCUUCACCCGUUUUUGAUCAUUCAGCCCAGUCCCCUUCAACAAUUGUCUGGGAAUGAAGAUUGAUGUGGGUGUGGUAAAGAGGUCCAACUUGCUUUGUGAGCCAAAACAAAUUUAUAUUUGUUCUCUGUCUCCCUUGGAUGACUCACGUGCCCCCUUCCAUAUUGUGCCGAAAGAACACAAAGGAAUGGAGCCCCGUGUGAAAUGAAAUUCAAAUUAAGUUUUCAAAAUACAAACACCGUGUUAUACAUUGUAUGAAAAAAUCAGGAGAUCAAAGGAAGUUAAGUCUGCUGUUCCAGGGAAAUGCAUUUCUUUAAAUAUCUCCACGAUCACAGUGUGACUGAAUGUCCUAGCAUAGCACUAUUUUAUUUUUUUUUAACAUGUAGUAAUAAGUUAAAAAGAUUUUACUCCAAGGCAGCUGUGGUGGCAAACAGUUGAUGAUAUGAUUUCAAACUGAUAGUCUCUUUUAUGUGCUAGGAAAACAAAGCAUUAUAUCAUAGGCAUGCACUCAUACAACCGCGAUGACAUUUAUAGUGUACUGCUUUUAUAAAGUAAUUUCUGACAUGUACUUCCAAACCAUAUUAAGGGGUUGUAAAAUUAUACUAAUGAAAGAAAAGCUUUUUUAGGAAUGGUUUUAAAUUUACCCCUUAGGUUUAAUCCAUUUCCACAUUAUGCAAACAUUCUUCACUUAACGUCUGGGACUUUUUAUAAAUAAGGUCAGAUUGAACAUUGUGCUAAGCUGUGACAUGACUUGGUUUGGAUCCAUGGUGUUGUGGGAUCCCAGUGAGGGUGUUCUUUCUCUUGCUCAAUGCAACUUAUUUUCUCUUCUCUUCUUGAAGUAUUGUUUCUCAAUCCCUCACUCUGGUAGUCUUCCUCCUUCUAGACUAUGUUGGGGGUUUUUUUUCCCCCUUGAAAACAUUCCACUUCUCCUCCAAGAAGCUUCUUCAGAAUGGUGGGGAACGGAAGGAUUUAUAUUCUUUGCAAUCAUCUGAGAGUCCUUGAGGCCACUUGGAGAUUUACCUGUAUUUUCAGACAGGAGUGGGCUGCUGGGGGUUCGCAGGGGUUCGGGAGAACCUCUAGCUAAGACUCUGUGCAGUUCGGAGAACCCCCAAACCCAGUCCUGGCUGGCCCCGCCCACCCCACCCUGCCCCUCCCAGGAGUCCCCACGAGGCCUAUUUUGGAUGCAAGUAAGUGCAGGGUGCAUGCAGAGGCUUGGGGAGGGUGAAAAAUGGGCCUACCGGAAGUUCGGGAAGGCCGGAAAUGGGCCCAUUUCCGGCCUCCAGAGGGCCUCCGGAGUCUGGGGAGGCCGUUUUUGCCCUCCUGGAGGCUUGAGGAAAGCCUCUGGAGCCCAAGGAGUAGGCCAUGCCCACCAUGGCCAUGCCCACCCAGCAACCGGGCAGAGAAACCCCUGCUAAAAUUUUUGAAGCCCACCCCUAUUCUCAGAGUCACCUGAAUCAGACUGCAAAUGGGUAUAGAACCUUCUUGAGGUUGGUCUCAGGAACCAGAUGACUGCAAGGAAUAUAAACCCUUCCAUUCCCCAGUAUUUGGUUAAAACUGAAGAAGCUUCUGAGAUGAGAAGUGAAAUGUUUUCAAGGAAAAAAAACCAAGCAAGCCCAGUUGCCUUUUGAAAAAGCACCUUUGGGACAACCAUGACCUGGAUGACUGAGGAUCUCCACCGACAUCCUUCCUCUGUCUAUUUUCUUUACUAUCACGGCCUGUUCCAGACAAGAAUCAUGGCCAUUGAAGAAAGAGAUAUUAUCUUCCCUCCAAGACAAUAUUUUCUAUAAAAAGUCUCUGCCCACCCCUACCAAGAGGGAAGAAAUCUGAUAAUCAACGAAAGCACAAUUGAUGCAAAUUAAACCCCAGUGACAACUCAAGGGGGUACAGUUUUCUUGAAAAAAAUGGGGUUCAAUUUGGGAUUGAAAGAUAAUGUUCUUCCUACCAUGGACAGUUCCCACUCUGUUUCUACUGCCACACCACUUACCCCUCUGCAUUUUAACAAUAUUAAGUAACAUUGUUAAAUUAAAUAAUUAUAUUGUUAUUUGGAACUUCCCCAGGUAAGGAAAAUAGGAACGGUAAUCUCUACUCAAUGUCUAUGGAGAUUCUCAGUCAUUCAGGUCAUACCUGUCCCACAGGUGCUUUUUCAGGAGGCAACUGGACUUUCUUGUCUUUACUUUGAAGACAUUUCACUUCUCAUCCUUCAGGGAAACAGGGCAGAAAAUAUCCUUUAGCCAAGAAGGCUCCACAACCAUUUGCACUACUCAGGUGACCCUGAGGACAGAGGUAAACCUCCAAGUGGCCUCAACGACUCUCUAAAAGGAUGCAAAUGACCAGCUGUCUGCAAGGAAUAUAAAUCCUUCCAUUCCCCCCAUCCAGUCAGAGCUGAAGAAGCUUCUUGGAUGAGAAGCGAAACAUCUUCAAAGAAAAAACAGGAAAGUCCAGUUGCCUCCUGAAAAAGUACCUUUGGGAUAAUCUCUGCUGGAUUAACCAAAACAGUAAUCAACAGUAGGGCGUCUGUUUGUCCUAGUAUGUGAAGGCAAUCUUUGGUUUGAAAGGAUAUCCAUUCAAAAUUCAGCUGUGAGUUCAAAGAUGAAAGAUUAUUUCAUCAUUAGCUUCUAUAGCACCUGCCUAGCGUGGUCAUUAUUGGUCAAAGGCUUCCAUGCCAUAGGGAGAUAUGCUGGAUCAAUGUGUAAAUGUGAAUGUUUUACUUUUUUGUAAUGCUGAGAAAACCAUGCUAAGAAACCAUACUGAGAAAACCGGGCUUCAUAUUUUAAGACUGUUUUGCCUGCCUUGAAUUGAGGCUGCUCUUAUCUCAGCAGCAAAGCUGUCAUUUUUUUAAUCAGACUCAAUCUGCUAAAAUCUAUGUUUAUGUUGCAUUUACAUUCCACUUUUUCUCCAAACAUGGGUGGUAUCUCUUUCUCCAAUUUUUGUCUUUACCUCAACUCUGCAAAAUAGGCAGGACAGAUAAGAUCAUGGCAAGUCUGACAUUACAGAAUGAAACUUAUAAAUUAAAUCUCUCUUUGUCCAGUCUUCUAAUCAUCAUGUUCCAUUGUCUCUUAUUUAUUGGAUCACACAAUCCUUAAAACACUAGGAAAUUGAUUACGGUAAAUAAUCACAUUUUAUAUACCCACCCACUUGACAUAAGGACUCUGGGUGGUAUAUAAUAGAACAACCCAUAAUAGAUUUUUAAGAACCCAUUAAAAUACAACCCAAAUCAUUAUCAUUAAAGAUAUAAAAGCAAAAUGGUAAGGAAUACAUACAGUACAAAUGGGUGCAUUCCAAUUAACCAUUUAGAUGGCACUCUUGCAUAAGACCCCCCAGCUCAGUUGACCAAGAUCUCUCUGAAAUAUUUGUUCUUCAAGUUUCAUCUGCAAAAAAAGGCAAAGGACAAAGGACUAUAAAUGGUCUGCUGGCAGCCAGGCACAAUUACUUAUUGGCUCUAUCACCUGCCAUUCACAUUCCUCCUACCUGCUGCAGCACAGUGUCCAUUCCAUUCUAUUAGGACAAUCAAAGAGGGAAAGCUGGAAGGCAAAAUCUUUGGAAUAUGCUAGCCUACUCAGAAAAGCAUACUUUAAAGCUAAUAAGUUGUGGGCUUUUUAACAAGGGCUGAUGCACAGGUAUUGUAUGAAUAUUAAAUGAUGAAUCACAUCUUUGAACAAUGUUUGAUAUAUAUAGUAUGAACAAGACAUUUGAGGGGCCAUAGAUUAAGCAAAUUGAGAUCAAUAAUACAGAGAUAUUUGUUUCAAUAAUAUAAUCAUUAUUGCAUUAGAUCAGUGUUUCUCCAACUUGGCAACUUUAAGUUGUGUGGACUUCAGUUCCUGGAACCUCCCAGCUACUGUGUUAGAAUCAGGAAUUAAUAAUUUUUAUGGAGAGUUUUUUUUUUUUUGAGGGGUGCUCUUAAAAUUAGUUCAUUUCACUGAGUUGGUGCAUGGAUUUAUACCACUGAGUCCUACUCUGAUGGUACUAUUGAAUAUAAGAUUAGUAGAAAAGCAUGAUUAAUAUAUAUGAUUCUAUCCAUUUUGUUAACUUUCCUUAAGAAGCCAAAUAACUCAUUUUAACAUCCUUUCCCCUGGCUUUUAAAAUGAAUGGAUACAAAAAUAUCUUUGUAAUAUUAUUAAAAAUGGAACAUGUUGAAGUUUCUUUCCAACUUCUUCUGACUCACAUAACUGUUUCUCAUAUGAUUGAUGAAUUGCAAUAUUGUGUGCUCAAACAUUAGUGGAAAGAAAUGGGAGGCUGGGGAGAAGGGAGGAAAGAAGGAAGGAGAGAGAGAAAGGGAAGGCAACAGAAGGCAUGAUGGAGGAAAGAGAGAAAAAACAAUGGAAAUGAAAAUCAAAUGAGAAAAGUCAGUAGUCUUUCCUUCCUUCCUUCCUUCUUUCCUUCCUUCCUUCCUUCCUUCCUUCCUUCUUUCCUUCCUUCCUUCCUUCCUUCCUUCCUUCCUUCCUUCCUUCCUUCCACAUAUGGACCAAAAUUAACUGCUCAUGAUACAUUUACAGAAUGCUUUAGAAAUUUUCAUGUGUAUUGAUAGGGAGAGACAUUGGAACUGCCAAAGAAUUUAAGUAAUGAAAUUGGUUCAACUCAAUUCAACAAAUAAAUUUAGUUGGGUUAUACUCUUAAGGAUUCUUACCAGAUAUAUGUUCUUUGAAAACCAGUAAGGUUUACAUAUAAAUAGAAUUGCACAUAUUACUAAAAUCUAAAUCUAAAGUGUUUUCUGGACAAAAGAAAUAUCAGAAACAUACUACAAACAAAAACUAUUCAUAUGUUGGUAAAAGAAAAAACCUAGUUUUCUGAUUUCAGUAUAAAUUAUAUUUUAGAACCAAAAUAUUCUCUAUAUUCCCCAGUAGAAUGUAUUUCUUUGUUAUACUUAUUCCCAAAUAUACCCAAAGCUUUAGUUGCUUAAUUAAACUAAUUUAAAUCAUGCAGUUUGUGAAAUAUGUCAAAAUUGUUGAUUACUGAUGUUCACUUAGCAACUCGAAAUGUUGGCUGUGCCUAAGACUAUUCCUGAUUAGAUUAUCACUUAAACUAUGCUUUUAGUGUAACAAAUCAGUAACAAGAUGUUAUGAAUUCUGGUUCAUAUGCUUACUCAGGGAGAAAGACUAUGAACAAACCUGAUUCUUCAUGAUAUGCAUGAAAUCAAGUAACUGUGAUUUGUUUUAGCCAUAAUUAAGUAGGAGUAUCUAUGGUUGCAGAUUCUAGGUUGUAUUAAUUUACCAGGCUGCACUACUAUCCAAAUUCAAAGUGGAAAAGUAUGAUUGGACAGCCUGCCAGAAAUUCCUUAAAGGGGCAGAAUCUUUUUCUGAGCUUUGAUGUAAGGACCUGCUGAUAGCUGCAACAAGCAUUCUCAUAUCUGAAGAUUUAUUAGUUUUUUAUCCCAUUUUAUUAUUUUAUAAGUUACCCAAGGCAGCAAACAUACAAUACAUAAUGCUCCUUCCUCCUCCUUCUCCUAUUUUCCUCACAACAUCAACCAUGUAAGAUGGGUUGGGCUAAGCGAGAGUGACUAGCACAAAGUCACCCAGCUGCUUUUCAUGUCUAAGAUGGCACUAGAACUCACAGUCUCCUGGUUUCUGGGCCAGCACCUUAACCACUAUACCAAAGGGUGCUUUCUCCUUUGAAAUCUUAUUACUGCACAACCUUAAUACUUACUAACAUAAGGGUUUCCCAAAUUUGAGUGUAAUGUUCAUCUGCUUUUUAAAGAAAACGAAGAAUGUUCCUUUCUCUUCUACCCAAAAAUGAAAAAGAGAAAGAAUCCAUGAUGUACUUUGGCUUUUUCCUAAGAAACAAACCCAUGUUUUAUGUUUUCUCAAUUGGUGCUCUUUCUCUCUCUCUGUCUCCCUCCCUCCCUCUCUCUCUCUUUCUCUCUCUCUCCCUCCCUCCCCCUCUCUCCCUCCUUCUCUCCCUCCUCUCCCCCCUCCCUCUCUCUCUUGAGAGAUGAGAGAGAAAGAUUUGCAGCUACCCUUUUUUGAUCUCAGUAGAUCCUUCCCUAUGAGGAAAUAAAAGACUGAUUGACAGCUUGUCAAAAGUUUAGCACUAUUUAUGGUAUAGGAGAUGUGGCACCCUGUCCACUAUCCAGUUGUAGUUCUGUUCCUUUAUGGCUUUUUGAUGUUAGAAUUUGUGAUGUCAGAAAGGAAACCAUGUCUCAGAGGCCCGGGGAAGUUUUGUCCCUCACCACCACAAAAGAAAGGGUCCUAUCUAGCAAGGUAUACUGGCCAAGGUUACUAACCCUAAAGAUGACUGGCAGUGUUUAGGUAGUUAGUCUGAAGAGUGGAGAGAUGCACCUAAGGUCUCUGAGGCUGAAUAAAUUCUUCUGGGAUUGUCAGCAUCACAUAUGAUGUUUCUCAAAUGUUGGGUACUCAACAACAUUAGAUAUAUCCAGUACAUUUUUGUAUCAGUAUUUAUGUACGGACUACAUACAAGGAGAUGUAAAAACAAAAAAGGAUCUAAUCAUUUGUAGACUGUAGACUGAAAAAAAAAGUCUAUUUUGCUGUUACUAAUGUACAAAAUGUCAAAAAGCCAAGAAAUAUACGCUUUGUGUUCUGGUGUCAAAUGAUGUAUUUUAUGGAGAUUUACUGUAUCAAACCAAUAACAGCUGAACAAAUGGAACCAUUUGAGGGAAAUUUGCGAUGAUGUGAAAUUUGCCUGUUUGUAUUUUAUUUUUCCCCUCCCUUUUUAGCAAACUUACAUCCUGAUUCCAGUGCCUGAAUAUCAAAUACAGUGGAGAUCAAUACAUCUCCACAAACGCUGCCAGGUAUGGGUUUACAUUCCUCAAGCAUUUUCAAAUGUUUUCCGUUAUUUCUGUUCAGGCUUCCUUGAUUCCCCAGCCUGAAAUAUAAACAGACGAACUUUUGAAUACUGUGUUGUUCAUCAUUAGCUAGCCAAAGACCGAGCAAAAUUUCAAAUAUAAUUAGGUAAUAAAGUGGGGUUUGGGGUGGAGUGGGAUGGGAUGGGAUGGGAUGGGUAGAGAUUUUUUUGUUUCUGUUUCAAGUGGAGAGAGAGAGAAAGAGAGAGAGGAGAAAAAAAUAGAUCAGUAUGAAUAAGUCUUGAGUUGCAAAGAAUGAUUUGAGAUCAUAUCUGAAAGAACUUAUUGAUUUAGCAUUUACAACCUGAAUGCCAGAUUUGGGGUCAACGCAGUAAGAUUGUAUUGCAUGCCUCUGUUUUUUUCCCCUUGCCUCUUUUUAUUGCCAACAAGACGCUCCUGUCAUCUUCAAGAUCAUCAACAGAAACUCUACAGUGGGAGGAAGACCUGGGUUAUUGGAAGAUAUAAAUGCAUUCUUUCCUGAGCAUCUCUGAGAAAAUGCGAGUUAUAAAUAUAGUAAGUACUGAACGUUGUUAUGGAAAGCAAUUUGAUAUCAGCUCUUAUGAUUUCUGUCAGCUGCUGCAUAAACUGCAGUGAGGUUUUGUUAUGUUUCCGAUGGCAUUUCAAUAUAUAUUAUUAUUAUAAUGUAUAUAAAUAAACUUUUCUAUUUCAGCAGGCUGGCCUGGCCUAACUCUCCUCUUUUAAAUUUUUUAAUUCGUGAUUUUAUAAAUUGGGUGUUUUAAUCUGUGUUUCGGCCAAAAUAUUUAAUAAUUUUAAGGGAUUUUUAAUAUUUGUAUUAUCUGUAUUUUAUCUUGGCUGUUCACCGCCCUGAGUCCUUCGGGAGUAGGGCGGUAUAGAAAUUUGAUUAAUAAUAAUAAUAAUAAUAAUUAUUAUUAUUAUCAAUAAUUCUAUAAUAAUUAAACAUUAGCAAUUAAACAUAUAAUAGAAUGAAUAUUCAAUAUGUAUAAUAUUACCCAUAUGAUUUAAAGCAUACUUUUAAAAACAUGCUCUCUUUUGCUUCUUGUAACGAUUUUGAAACCAUGCGGAUAAUUGUCAGCUUUAUUUUUUUUUAAAAAAUGAGUCCCAAAAUUGUACAUGGUUAAAUGUUGUUUAUACAUGAUAUUAUACAAAUUAAUUAAUUUUCAUAUACUGGAAAGAUUAAGUGUUCCUACAUUUCAAAUUGCAUUUCCAUGUAGGCUUUUGAGUGUAUUGUUAUAACAAUUAAUCCAUCCUGAAUUUAUGAGUAUUAAUAAAGAAAUGUAACCGCCACUGUUUUAAGAGAUAUAUGGAACGUUUUAAUUUUCGUAAUAAAUUUUAAAAAUGUAUUUCAAGCCCUAAUGUUCACUCCACAGCCUUCAGAACUGACACAGUUUAAAAGAAGCAUUAAAUUAGAAGCUACUAAGA